UGGGGAAUAUUGGACAAUGGGCGCAAGCCUGAUCCAGCCAUGCCGCGUGGAUGAUGAAGGCCCUAGGGUUGUAAAGUCCUUUCGGCGGGGAAGAUAAUGACGGUACCCGCAGAAGAAGCCCCGGCUAACUUCGUGCCAGCAGCCGCGGUAAUACGAAGGGGGCUAGCGUUGCUCGGAAUCACUGGGCGUAAAGCGCACGUAGGCGGACUCUUAAGUCGGUGGUGAAAUCCUGGAGCUCAACUCCAGAACUGCCUUCGAUACUGAGAGUCUCGAGUCCGGGAGAGGUGAGUGGAACUGCGAGUGUAGAGGUGAAAUUCGUAGAUAUUCGCAAGAACACCAGUGGCGAAGGCGGCUCACUGGCCCGGUACUGACGCUGAGGUGCGAAAGCGUGGGGAGCGAACAGGAUUAGAUACCCCCGUAGUCC
RNAcentral lists this ribosomal RNA (424 nucleotides) under uncultured bacterium. RNAcentral's name for it is "bacterial SSU rRNA". It matches the Rfam family "Bacterial small subunit ribosomal RNA", at positions 355 to 796 of the family's 1533-position model. The record is from RNAcentral.